CGGGGUGCAGCAGGCGCGAAAACUUUGCAAUGCGGGAAACCGUGACAAGGGAACUCUGAGUGCCCGUUAAAUCGGGCUGUCCAUCGGUUUAAAUAACCGGUGAAGAAAGGGCCGGGCAAGACCGGUGCCAGCCGCCGCGGUAAUACCGGCGGCUCGAGUGGUGGCCACUAUUACUGGGCUUAAAGCGUUCGUAGCUGGUUUGUUAAGUCUCUGGGGAAAUCUUCCGGCUUAACCGGAAGGCGUCUCAGGGAUACUGGCAGACUAGGGACCGGGAGAGGUGAGAGGUACUCCAGGGGUAGGAGUGAAAUCCUGUAAUCCUUGGGGGACCACCUGUGGCGAAGGCGUCUCACCAGAACGGCUCCGACAGUGAGGGACGAAAGCUGGGGGAGCAAACCGGAUUAGAUACCCGGGUAGUCCCAGCUGUAAACGAUGCGCGUUAGGUGUAUCGGUGACCACGAGUCACCGAGGUGCCGAAGAGAAAUCGUGAAACGUGCCGCCUGGGAAGUACGGUCGCAAGGCUGAAACUUAAAGGAAUUGGCGGGGGAGCACAAGGGCGAUUCGCG
RNAcentral lists this ribosomal RNA (563 nucleotides) under uncultured archaeon. RNAcentral's name for it is "bacterial SSU rRNA". It matches the Rfam family "Archaeal small subunit ribosomal RNA", at positions 326 to 897 of the family's 1478-position model. The record is from RNAcentral.